GAUGAACGCUGGCGGCGUGCCUAACACAUGCAAGUCGAACGAGGCAAAUAAGAUGAAGUUUUCGGAUGGAUUCUUAUUUACCGAGUGGCGGACGGGUGAGUAACGCGUGGGUAACCUGCCUCAUACAGGGGGAUAACGGUUAGAAAUGACUGCUAAUACCGCAUAAGCGCACAGUACCGCAUGGUACGGUGUGAAAAACUCCGGUGGUAUGAGAUGGACCCGCGUCUGAUUGGGUAGUUGGUGGGGUAACGGCCUACCAAGCCGACGAUCAGUAGCCGACCUGAGAGGGUGACCGGCCACAUUGGGACUGAGACACGGCCCAA
Molecule: ribosomal RNA, 323 nt
Filed under: uncultured bacterium
Lineage: Bacteria
Description: bacterial SSU rRNA
Rfam family: Bacterial small subunit ribosomal RNA
Source: RNAcentral